Molecule: ribosomal RNA, 424 nt
Filed under: uncultured bacterium
Lineage: Bacteria
Description: bacterial SSU rRNA
Rfam family: Bacterial small subunit ribosomal RNA
Source: RNAcentral
GGGAAUUUGGACAAUGGGCGCAAGCCUGAUCCAGCCAUGCCGCGUGCGGGAAGAAGGCCUUCGGGUUGUAAACCGCUUUUGUCAGGGAAGAAACGCUCUGGGUUAAUACCCCGGAGUAAUGACGGUACCUGAAGAAUAAGCACCGGCUAACUACGUGCCAGCAGCCGCGGUAAUACGUAGGGUGCAAGCGUUAAUCGGAAUUACUGGGCGUAAAGCGUGCGCAGGCGGUUAUGCAAGACAGAUGUGAAAUCCCCGGGCUCAACCUGGGAACUGCAUUUGUGACUGCAUAGCUGGAGUGCGGCAGAGGGGGAUGGAAUUCCGCGUGUAGCAGUGAAAUGCGUAGAUAUGCGGAGGAACACCGAUGGCGAAGGCAAUCCCCUGGGCCUGCACUGACGCUCAUGCACGAAAGCGUGGGAGCAAACAG